AACAGGAUUAGAUACCCUGGUAGUCCACGCCCUAAACGAUGUACACUAGUUGUUGUGAGGCUCGACCUUGCAGUAAUGCAGUUAACACAUUAAGUGUACCGCCUGGGGAGUACGGUCGCAAGAUUAAAACUCAAAGGAAUAGACGGGGACCCGCACAAGCGGUGGAGCAUGUGGUUUAAUUCGACGAUACACGAAGAACCUUACCUGGACUUGACAUAGUAAGAAUGAUUUAGAGAUAGAUUAGUGUCUGCUUGCAGAAACUUGCAUACAGGUGCUGCACGGCUGUCGUCAGCUCGUGUCGUGAGAUGUUGGGUUAAGUCCCGCAACGAGCGCAACCCUCGUCCUUAGUUGCUAACAGUUCGGCUGAGAACUCUAAGGAGACUGCCUACGCAAGUAGGAGGAAGGUGAGGAUGACGUCAAGUCAUCAUGGCCCUUACGUCCAGGGCUACACACGUGCUACAAUGGGGUAUACAAAGAGCAGCAAUACGGUGACGUGGAGCAAAUCUCAAAAUGCCUCCCAGUUCGGAUUGUAGUCUGCAACUCGACUACAUGAAGUUGGAAUCGCUAGUAAUCGUAGAUCAGCUAUGCUACGGUGAAUACGUUCCCGGGUCUUGUACUCACCGCCCGUCACACCAUGGGAGUUGAACUCAUUCGAAGCGGGGAUGCUAAAGUAGCUACCUUCCACAGUGGAUUCAGCGACUGGGGUGAAGUCGUAACAAGGUAACC
Molecule: ribosomal RNA, 726 nt
Filed under: uncultured bacterium
Lineage: Bacteria
Description: bacterial SSU rRNA
Rfam family: Bacterial small subunit ribosomal RNA
Source: RNAcentral